Molecule: long non-coding RNA, 688 nt
Organism: Podarcis muralis (Common wall lizard)
Lineage: Eukaryota; Metazoa; Chordata; Lepidosauria; Squamata; Lacertidae
Source: RefSeq, a predicted model, not a curated record
UCAGAAGAGUCCCUCAUGGCCUGUUAAGAAACUUCAGAGCAUAGGCUGCAGUUCUCAAUAUCUCUUUACCAACCCAGUACUGUAUAUGUAUUUUCACGUGGGCCAAUCACAUGCAUACAUUUGCAAUACCUUGCUCUUCUGAAUCAGGAUCGAUCCAUCAGUUUGUUCCCUCACUUUUAGAGCAAACAGGCUACCAAACCAGCAACACAUCCUGCUAUGGACAUACUUUGUACCAGAGGACAGUCCUGGCCCAGUUCAUAAUCUCCCAGAUGCCUUGGACACUCGUCUCCUAGGUGCCACAUGCCAGCUCUGCUUCACCUCCGAGUGUGACAUUGUAAUCAAUCUUUCGGACAAAAAUGACAGCAUUUCACAAGGAGCACCAAUCCUUUGGGCUUACUAAAAUAAAAAUAGCCAGCACACCUCCCAAUGGCAACCUGCAAGUUCCAGUGUAAAGACGUGCAACAUUUUCUUCCUAACGACACGCUCCAGUGUUCUACACUACUACACUGUAUUCACCGGGCUCAAUAAGUUUUCCUUCCCACAAGCUUUGAGAUAAUGCAUCCACCUUGACAGGUUAUUACUCUAAUCAACACGAUUCAGUCAACAUAUCACUAUAAUAAAGCCGACUUUAAAGAAGAGUGAGCGGCUGGUGGGCAAAUGAUAUAUCGGAAGAACAAACAAACAACAG